Gallus gallus (chicken) is the source of this 6894-nucleotide long non-coding RNA. RefSeq lists it as uncharacterized. The transcript is spliced from 2 exons. The record is from RefSeq and is a predicted model, not a curated record. NCBI's taxonomy places the organism in Eukaryota, Metazoa, Chordata, Aves, Galliformes, Phasianidae.
AGCCCGGCCCGGGGGCAGCGCCCCGCAGCACGGCACCGCCGGGCCCGCACGAGGAGCGGCGCCGGGGCUCAGGUGCCGCGGGGGCGGCGCUGCGCGACGGACCGCUACAAACGUCAAAAUCCAAGGGAAUAAAGAGGGAACGCGCUUCCAGAUUUAGCAGCCCGAAAUGCCGGGGGAGGUACCGAAUCACACCGCAAACGUACUCCGCUGCCAGUGAGCCAUUUUAAGAGCGACGCUGAGUUAUUCUAGACCAGACAGCCACAGAUCAUCAAACUCCACACCGCAAUUAAAGGCGCCAAUGACCCCAUCAGCAAUUUUGAAGCUGCAUUAGUCUCCCACAGUGCUUAAAAUCUAAUGAAGACCAGAAGGACCUCGGGCACCUGCUCCUGGACCCUGCUAAGCGGCCAUUACGGCAGGUAGGUGCAAGCCCUUCGUCCCAGUGCUGCCCAACACCUGCCUGGAGAGGGCCGGGCACAGCGGUCUGCCGGGCACUGCUGGCACCAAGAGGGGGAACACGGGAAAGCUCUGCAGAGAUCCUCACAGCAGCAGCUUGGCUUAAGGAAUACACAUCCCCCAUUGAGCUGUGAGGUACUGUGAGAAAACGAGCUCAAAAGCAGCAGCAGACAAUAUCGAAGAAGCGAUGUACAUAUUAAGCCCAUUUUGAAAGGGGAGCACACAGUAUAGUGAGCGUCGGGGACUGGGCCAAGUGCUGCAGGUGGAAUUCACAGGCCAGGAGGAGGCAAAGACAACAGAUCAGCAAUCAGUAUGUGCUGCUGGUCAGUAAAAGGUCCCACCUGGGAAUUGUGACAGUGACUUUCAAUGCCCUGCUUUGGAAAGAGGGGGAAAAAGCCCCCAUUUUAUUAAAAAAAUAAAGAUGAGAUGCUUUUAGAAGCCUCUUCCCUACUGUGCUAGUUUCUUUUGCAAGAUGAACCUUCCAUGUUACCUGGGCUCAGAAAGCUAACUCGUACACAACAGAACGCCGUGGAUUUUGGGAAGGGUGUGGCUGUUCCUCCACAUGCACAGAGCAGCGUUCUGAGAGGGUUGCAAAACAUGCUGCAAAAUUCUGGAAGGAACACAAAGGCACCCAUAAGGGCUCACAAUCCACGUCAAACAGGAUGUCUGUAGUUACAGCUCUCAUCUUGGCUCUCUUAACAGACACGUUUAGCAUCCAAAUCUCCAUAAAAAGCGGCUCUGCAACUGAAAACAAAUGUCACCUCAUUUCUUCUUUCAACUUCAUCAGAGCAGCCAAGAUAACAACAACAUGUCCACUUUAUGCACUUUAAGUCCACAGGCCAAAUACACACCCUGGUGAUGCAAGCCUUUUCUGAGGUCUGUCUUCAUUGAACACUCUUUGCUAGACAGCACAAUUAGAGCUAACAGCAACAUGACAGACACUCCAACGCAGUACAGAAUACAAAGCAUCUCCGUGCCAUAUUUGCAAGACAAUUUGCACUUACAUGCAUAUGACACACACAGGACUAUAAAAGCAUGGAAGAGAGCCAUGCACUCAUAUUGGCACAAAGGAAAUAACAACAGCCACAAAUUCACAAACUGAGGUAUUUACAGACACAGCCAGCGUCAGUAGAUGAAUACUGAGUUCUGCAGAAACAACAGCAAAAGCAGAUGUGAAGAUAUGCUGCCUAACUUCCAGUGAGAACGUUUGAAAAGGUGCUUUGAAAUGAAAUCACAACAGUAAAUUCCAGAAGAGCCUCCCCUUCUUCAGGCCAAGUACUAUGACUCCUGUGAAGACACUGCAUGACACCAGUACAACAAUUCACAAAAAUAAAAUAGAAAAUAAAUAAAUAAAACAAAAAUCACCCCAGAAUCCAUCUUUUUCCACACUGAUACAAUUUAUUACAAAACCUCCAUGAAAAUUAGUGUUAUGGUAUAUAAAAGGUUCAUUACAUGCCACCACUCAGCUGGGAGCUAAGAACGCCGUGAUAGGAAUACCUGCAAGCAAUACUGAGACCUGAAGACAACUCUCCAGAGGCAUCCACAGAAGUUUCUGGCAUGCAUAGUGUUCAUGGUAUUUUAAGGCACAGCGAUUUAGAAUUGUCAGUGGUUUGGAUAUUUUCUCAUACAUCACACAAAUACAAAUCACCAGAGAUGAAGCUUGAAAAAGAACUGAAGCACAGAAAGUUAUGAAGAACUGAUGUGAUAUAGAAUGGCUUAAAAUAGCAAUAGAAGGUUACAAUACUGUGCAAACACACAUUUACUGCCAACAAGCCACGGAGGCUUUUACUACUAAUCACAGAACAGUUCAGAACAAUCUAGCAGAUACAUAAUUAACUCCUUGCCCCAGCACAAGGCCUGGUCCAAACAGCAUGCUUAUCCAUUUCUGUGCCAAAAGGCAUAGGAAGGAGAAUAAAAACACAUUUCUAAGCAUGAAGACAGCAUUACCAAAAGAAUCGAAAAAGAUACAGGAUAACUUGAUUAACAUCGAAUAUAUAAAACAAGCAGUUUUACAACACAAUCUUCAGACUCUGUGUUUGUUUUAAUGCAGGUCUUGAUCUGCAGAAUCCGGCCUUUGCAUGUGAACGUUACCACUUGGUCAAAGAAAAGAGAGCACCCGUCCACUUAGAGAACUGUACGCUGCUGCGAACAAAAGUGGAAAACAAACAGCAUUAGAAAAGACAAAUUCUCAGCACUACUGACAUGGUUUUGGCAUCCUGAACCUCAUCCCCUCCUAGCGAAGCAACAUAUUCCAGGUCUCAGAGCACUUCGGUGCUCUGCAGUAAGUAACCUGCACUACAGCUACAUCAGCUGAUUAAGAUGAUGGCAGCGGCGAUUUCUCAAUACAGUUUGGCCAGAGAUAUUUGUCACAAACGUCUAAUAAGAGCACAUACAUGAGCAUCUAUUUUUAGGUGCAUACUUCCUUAAGCACCCACACUCCCCUUCAUCUGCAAGCAUGCAAGAACUGUGCUGCAGCUCAGCUAAACAGUACUGCACAUGGAAAGCAACCUCUGCCAGCCUGUGAUGUGCAGCAUUACUUCUGAUGCUAAAAAUUGCAUUUAAGAUCACUUACAAUCUAAACAGGGCUAAAAUAAGCAGCCAGCUCGACAUUAUGCACAAACACGACAUUAUGCUCUUAUGACACUGCUUAGGUAAAAAAGGAAACCAAAUGGAUUUUUCCAAACAUUCAUAAAGCAGUAUUCAUAUGGCUGAAAGAAGGAACACUGACUUCACUUCAAAAAUGACUCCCAGUUUUGCAUUAGUUCAAUUGGCAAUUGCAUUUGCCAAUUGAAGAAAGCACAAUUCCAACUUUCCCUGAAAAUCAGGUCCUGCUUACAAAAGCUGUGAUAAAUUUGGAACUUGGGAGGCACCUCCAGCUCUCCAGUCUCCAAAGGUAUUCUUCCCCAAGUGGGAAAAGUAGCUCAGCCUAAGCACCCAGCUGGAUGGCAGAAAAGAAACAUGCAGUGACAGUACAACACCUAUGCAGACUGCAGCUGCAGAAUACAGCUGGGAUGAGGCUGACGGAAAGCUGACACAUGGGGUCCUUCGCUCUUCCUGUACCAAACAGAGCCCUCACGGUGGGAACAGCAGCUUCCCACACUGUCAGCAGGCCAGGGCCAUCACCUCACAUAACCCAGUCCAACAAGCCAGCAUUACGGUGUUAAAGCUGGAGACCACGCACUGCUAACCACCUUUAAUAUUCAAAGGCAAAAUUAACUUCUUGUGCUACACUGUUACUUCAAAUAUGGAAGAGAAACUAAUUUUCUGCCAUCGCCUGCAUAGCUCUGAUCUGUUACAAGGCAUAUCAAAAAGAGAUGGUAAGCAGUGUCUCGGUCACAGGCAGACCAAUGCUCCUAAUAAACACCAAGGCUCUGGUUGUAAGCACCAGCGUGCACUGAUGCUAGUAGCAUCAGCAACAUGAUAUCCAUUUGUUAUGUUCAUACAACAUAGCUGAGCACAGGACAUUUCAGGCAUUUCCAGUGUGGAUUUGUUUCACUGCCUGCUUCCUCAUCUCCUCAUGAGAAAGUCUUUUAUGAUACAUUAGGUUAAUAUUGCUCUCUAGAGGUUUUUAUAUCCAUUUUUGUACACUAAUGUGUGAGGCUCCCCCAUACUUUCCAAGUGUGUUUUCAUUAAAUGCUUCUACCUGCAGCAUGAAUUCUCACCAUUAUUUAAUAGACAGCACAGUUCUGCAGCAUGCUGCUGACGUGUUCAGUGAGUACCCCAACGAGCACCACGUGCACACACCCUCACACAAGGUCAGAUCACCAAGAAUCCUGCAUUAGAAAGGCUUAGGAAGGAAUGGGCUUGCCUCCCCUCAGCUGCUUCAAAGGACACACAUCACGGUGCUCUGCAUUGCAUUGAUCUGCCUCUACAGUUCUGAAUUCCCAAGAAGAGAAAUGCAUUUUGCAGCAGUUACAUUUUCUUACCGACCUAAAUUAUCUUUCUUCCAAUAACACCCGUUUUGUGUUUUAUGUAGCUAUAACCCUUCCACUUCACAAGUUAGCAAGAACUUGGAGAAGCUGAGUCUUCCCCCAAGGCUUUGCUUCAUGGCAAAUCCUGGAGCUUCUGUACCAGGGUGAACAUUUGCAAACUUUGUUACAACUCCUGGAAAAAAUCUCUAAGUACUGAAUAACAUCAAUAUUACGAUGUUAUCAUAAUGGGAGAGAUUAUUUUUAGAUGUUAUUUUUAGAUGAACAAGUUCAUAUGAAAGCUUUAUUGUUCUCUGUGUGGAGGAUUAAGUCAUACAGUGAUUGUCUGAAGUGUGCCUAUCUCUGCCCAUUACAGCUGAGGGCAGGUGGGCACCAGGAGGAUACCAGUCACCAGGCAGCUAAGGUCCUCCUAAGGACCCAAUCAACAUUUUUCUGUACAACUUCAAUUUCCUAUGGAGCCACACAGAAUCAGCACUUCAGCUGUACAGCAGCAAAGAAAAAGUAGUUAUAUCAAAGCCUACUCUCUAAGGGAAACCCAAAUUUGUGCUAGCCCAUCAAUGCAGGGUUUGUUGAGCAACUCCAACAUGAAGACAGCUGAAAAGAGCUGAAGAAUGACAGCACUUUUCUAAUCCAGUUUCUAGCUAGAGAAACAGCCACUGGCAGUGCCAGGCAGUUGUUCCAAAUACUACAAGUUUGCCAAAGCAUUGCAUUCUCAAGGCUUUCAAUUUCAGCUGCAAAAACUACAACAUCAUCUGUACUUCCUCAAAUGACAUUUCUCAUCAGAUCAAUUCAGCAUUCAGCAGCAUCAUUUUAGAAGGCUGGUUGCUAUGACAAUGCUUUGUAUUUUCCUGUUAAUGAUGUCAAUUCAGUGGUAGAAGAAAUAGCCUGUUUGGUGCCUUUAUCAAAAAUCAGAACAGCGUCAGUCAGCGCAGAAAGCUCUAACACUCAUGGAAAUCAUGAGCUUACUAAAAGAACUAACGUGCUAUAGAUACCUCAAAAUGCCUUUUUUCCCUACAUGCACUUCCCUAACCAAAACUACGUUUGCAGUUGGCUGUUUAUUUUCCACAGGCUGGCUGCUGUUACUGUGUCCCAGUUUGACCCUGAAGCUAUGUGUAAGAUAGACAAUUCAGAUUUGUAAGGACAAGAGGAAAACAGAUUGCAAAGAGCUAUACUUCCAGAAGCAGAAAAGGAAAGAAGAAAGCCCUACCAAUAAACAUUUCACUUGAAAAAAUUAUUGCUUCAAAGCCAGUAAACAUGCUGGCAGAGUAACCACAGACUUAUUCCAACAGGCUGUAAGUAUUUCAUAUUGCAAUCAACAGACAAUACUAGAUUAGUUUUAGUUUCUGGUAACUUGGCCCCACUCCUCCCCUGUUUUCUCUGAGCCUUCAUUUGAACUGUCAAUGAUAAGCAAUAAGCCCCUACCACUUUACAGCAAUCCUGCAUCCUGAGAAUUAAAAAGGAAAUAAUAAAUGAAACUUAAACUCAGUUUGAAGUCUUUAUUAAGCUUCACAUGGACUUGUAAGAUUGGUGUAACAAAAGUUAAGGAAAAAAUGGUUCCUGCUCAUUCUAACCUUACCCUGGUGCCUAGCUGUGCCCUCACUGCCUGCUGCAAACACCUCUAUGCACACAGUCUGCACGUGAUUUGUGAACUUCGGCACAUUGUUUUUGUAACAGUCUCUGCCUAUGUCACCCUCCCGUGCUUCUCAUUAGCCUCAAAAUCAACGGAAACUGCUUGCAGUAAACUCUCCCUUCACUCUUUCUGAAAGUCUUCAAAGAUGCCCCUAAUUCAGAGAGCACGAGAAAAAACAGAACUUCCAGCCAUCCCAUCUUUACAGCAUAAAAGACCAUACGGUCUUACUGCCUUUUGGGUCAGGACUUAAUUUCAGCACAUCUUAAUCAUUAUGCGAUGUCAGAUUCUUUCUAGAUAAUCCCAAAGCAUUCAGCAUCCACACCUUAUUUCCAAGUGCACCUGAAACCCAGAAGCGAGCAUUUCACGUGGUUAGACACCACCAUGUGUAACCAUCCUGCCCUAUACUCUCUGCCUCUCACCCAUGAAGGCAUUUACACCACACUGCUCUUUUCUCAAAUGUCUGAAAACACCUUUAUGUGUGCUUUAUGGAGGGAAAAUAUUUAAUGGGUUUUUUAAAGAAAAUAUAAGUAUGUACUUAUCCAAAGUAAGAGCAGUACAAACAGUAGCUUUACAUAUUGUCUAUGAGGUUACGUACAUUUCCCAGCAUAAAAGAAAGUAAAAGUGCCAAAGAGCAACAGGAGGAGAGACGACGCUUUUAGUGGCAGCAUUGUCAUAAGCAGAUCCAUAAACGUUCCUGUAAAACCAGACCCUAAGAGACGCUCAGGAUAAGCUGCACUAGAACAAGAAGAUUGAUACCAAUCUUCAGUGUGCUGGCAUUUUUGUUUUGUUAGCUACCGCGUUAAUUGUUGUUCAUUACAAGUUUCCUGCUUUCUCUGGAAAUGGUUCAAUAAAAUACUGCAAAUAAAUCUGAUUGCAAUGAUG